RNAcentral lists this ribosomal RNA (254 nucleotides) under uncultured bacterium. Its description in RNAcentral is "partial 16S ribosomal RNA". It matches the Rfam family "Bacterial small subunit ribosomal RNA", at positions 524 to 776 of the family's 1533-position model. The record is from RNAcentral.
UACGUAGGAUCCAAGCGUUGUCCGGAUUUACUGGGGUGUAAAGGGUGCGCAGGCGGGCCGGUAAGUCAGGAGUGAAAUCUCGGCGCUUAACGCCGAAACUGCUUUUGAUACUGCCAGUCUUGAAUCAGCGAGAGACGUGUGGAAUUCCGAGUGUAGCAGUGAAAUGUGUAGAUAUUCGGAAGAACACCAGUGGCGAAGGCAGCACGUUGGCGCUCGAUUGACGCUCAGGCACGAAAGCAUGGGGAUCAAACAGG